Molecule: ribosomal RNA, 497 nt
Filed under: uncultured bacterium
Lineage: Bacteria
Description: partial 16S ribosomal RNA
Rfam family: Bacterial small subunit ribosomal RNA
Source: RNAcentral
GAUGAACGCUGGCGGCGUGCCUAAUACAUGCAAGUCGAGCGAACAGACGAGGAGCUUGCUCCUCUGACGUUAGCGGCGGACGGGUGAGUAACACGUGGAUAACCUUCCUCUAAGACUGGGAUAACUUCGGGAAACCGGAGCUAAUACCGGAUAAUAUAUUGAACCGCAUGGUUCAAUAGUGAAAGACGGUUUUGCUGUCACUAUUAGAUGGAUCCGCGUCGGAUUAGCUAGUUGGUAAGGUAACGGCUUACCAAGGCGACGAUGCGUAGCCGACCUGAGAGGGUGAUCGGCCACACUGGAACUGAGACACGGUCCAGACUCCUACGGGAGGCAGCAGUAGGGAAUCUUCCGCAAUGGGCGAAAGCCUGACGCAGCCACGCCGCGUGAGUGAUGAAGGUCUUCGGAUCGUAAAACUCUGUUAUUAGGGAAGAACAAAUGUGUAAGUAACUAUGCACGUCUUGACGGUACCUAAUCAAAAAGCCACGGCUAACUACGUG